This 610-nucleotide ribosomal RNA is filed under the name Sertularia turbinata. RNAcentral's name for it is "partial 16S ribosomal RNA". It matches the Rfam family "Bacterial large subunit ribosomal RNA", at positions 1808 to 2603 of the family's 2925-position model. The record is from RNAcentral. Lineage: Eukaryota; Metazoa; Cnidaria; Hydrozoa; Leptothecata; Sertulariidae.
CCCAAACAUAGCCCUAGUUAAUAUCUAAGGUGUAACCUGCCCAAUGGUUUUUAAUUAAUAUAAUUAAAAUUUAUAUAAUAAAACUUAAAGGACGCGGUAACCUUGACCGUGAUAAUGUAGCAUAAUCAUUCGCCAUUUAAUUGAUGGAUAGUAUGAAUGGUUGAACGAAUAUUUCACUGUCUUAAAAAGAAAUACCAAAAAAUUAGAAUAAUAGUAAAGAUACUAUUUAAAAUUGUAAGACGAAAAGACCCUAUAGAGCUUAACUAUAAUCUCUACUUUAUAAUUUAAAACAUUUAUUAACAGUAGAGAUUGGUAGUUUAGUUGGGGCGACUGUCUUUUAAAAUAAACAAAGACAAGCAAAGUAAAUAAAAAUAAACUUAUUGUACAAUUAAUAAAUUUAACAAUUAUGAAAAUAGGCUAUAGUGACCCGUUACUUAUAAGUAAUAAUAAUAACGAUCAAUAAAUAAAAGCUACCUUAGGGAUAACAGGAUAAUUUUAUUUUAGAGACCUAAUCGAAAAUAAAGUUUGUCACCUCUAUGUUGAAUUAAGAUAUCCUGAUAAUGCAGAAGUUAUCAAAGGUAGGUCUGUUCGACCUUUAAAUCUUACAUGA